CCUGAGUACGACGGAGCACGUGAAAUUCCGUCGGAAUCUGGGAGGACCAUCUCCUAAGGCUAAAUACUCUCUAGUGACCGAUAGUGAACCAGUACCGUGAGGGAAAGGUGAAAAGUACCCCGGAAGGGGAGUGAAAGAGAACUUGAAACCGUGUGCUUACAAGUAGUCAGAGCCCGUUAAUGGGUGAUGGCGUGCCUUUUGUAGAAUGAACCGGCGAGUUACGAUCUGAUGCAAGGUUAAGCAGAAAAUGUGGAGCCGUAGCGAAAGCGAGUCUGAAUAGGGCGAAUGAGUAUUUGGUCGUAGACCCGAAACCAGGUGAUCUACCCUUGGUCAGGUUGAAGUUCAGGUAACACUGAAUGGAGGACCGAACCGACUUACGUUGAAAAGUGAGCGGAUGAACUGAGGGUAGCGGAGAAAUUCCAAUCGAACUUGGAGAUAGCUGGUUCUCUCCGAAAUAGCUUUAGGGCUAGCCUCAAGUGAUGAUUAUUGGAGGUAGAGCACUGUUUGGACGAGGGGCCCCUCUCGGGUUACCGAAUUCAGACAAACUCCGAAUGCCAAAUAAUUUAACUUGGGAGUCAGAAUGUGGGUGAUAAGGUCC
Molecule: ribosomal RNA, 598 nt
Filed under: Staphylococcus pseudintermedius
Lineage: Bacteria; Bacillati; Bacillota; Bacilli; Caryophanales; Staphylococcaceae
Description: partial 23S ribosomal RNA
Rfam family: Bacterial large subunit ribosomal RNA
Source: RNAcentral